RNAcentral lists this long non-coding RNA (230 nucleotides) under Gossypium raimondii (Peruvian cotton). Its description in RNAcentral is "long non-coding RNA (GRAI_LNC001199)". The record is from RNAcentral. Lineage: Eukaryota; Viridiplantae; Streptophyta; Magnoliopsida; Malvales; Malvaceae.
AACCUUAACCCAGCCCCGAAUCUCUAAACCCUAAAUCACUAACUCUUAACCUCUAAGCUCUAACCCCUAACUACUAACCCCUAAACCUUAUUUAAUAUAUAAAUUAAAAAACACUAAUUAAUCUAAACCCUAAACCCUAACUCAAAUCACUACCCCUAACCCCUAAACAUUAUUUAAUAUAAAUUAAAGCACACUAAUUAAUCUAAACCUUAAAUCCUAACCUAACACCG